AUUGUAGUCAUAUGCUUGUCUCAAAGAUUAAGCCAUGCAUGUCUAAGUAUAAGCAAUCUAUACAGUGAAACUGCGAAUGGCUCAUUAAAUCAGUUAUCGUUUAUUUGAUAGUACCUUACUACUUGGAUAACCGUGGUAAUUCUAGAGCUAAUACAUGCUAAAAACCCCGACCUCUGGAAGGGGUGUAUUUAUUAGAUAAAAAACCAAUGCCUUCGGGCUCCUUGGUGAUUCAUGAUAACUUUACGAAUCGCAUGGCCUUGUGCCGGCGAUGGUUCAUUCAAAUUUCUGCCCUACCAACUUUCGAUGGUAGGAUAGUGGCCUACCAUGGUUUCAACGGGUAACGGGGAAUUAGGGUUCUAUUCCGGAGAGGGAGCCUGAGAAACGGCUACCACAUCCAAGGAAGGCAGCAGGCGCGCAAAUUACCCAAUCCCGACACGGGGAGGUAGUGACAAUAAAUACUGAUACAGGGCCCUUUCGGGUCUUGUAAUUGGAAUGAGUACAAUUUAAAUCCAUUAACGAGGAACAAUUGGAGGGCAAGUCUGGUGCCAGCAGCCAGGGUGUAGUCAUAUGCUUGUCUCAUUGCAAGUCUGGUGCCAGCAGCC
This 602-nucleotide ribosomal RNA is filed under the name uncultured fungus. RNAcentral's name for it is "bacterial SSU rRNA". It matches the Rfam family "Eukaryotic small subunit ribosomal RNA", at positions 21 to 599 of the family's 1831-position model. The record is from RNAcentral. Lineage: Eukaryota; Fungi.